Molecule: ribosomal RNA, 253 nt
Filed under: uncultured bacterium
Lineage: Bacteria
Description: partial 16S ribosomal RNA
Rfam family: Bacterial small subunit ribosomal RNA
Source: RNAcentral
UACGAGGGGGGCAAAUGUUGUUCGGAAUCACUGGGCGUAAAGGGAGCGUAGGCGGGUUCUUAAGUUAGGUGUUUAAUCCCGGGGCCCAACCCCGGACCGGCACUUAAAACUGGGAAUCUUGAAUAGUGGAGAGGUCAGUGGAAUUGGGGGUGUAGCGGUGGAAUGCGUAGAUAUCGGAAGGAACACCAGCGGCGAAGGCGGCGACCUGGACAGUAACUGACACUCAACUACGAAAGCGUGGGGAGCGAACAGG